Molecule: ribosomal RNA, 353 nt
Filed under: Escherichia coli
Lineage: Bacteria; Pseudomonadati; Pseudomonadota; Gammaproteobacteria; Enterobacterales; Enterobacteriaceae
Description: partial 23S ribosomal RNA
Rfam family: Bacterial large subunit ribosomal RNA
Source: RNAcentral
CUGGAGGUAUCAGAAGUGCGAAUGCUGACAUAAGUAACGAUAAAGCGGGUGAAAAGCCCGCUCGCCGGAAGACCAAGGGUUCCUGUCCAACGUUAAUCGGGGCAGGGUGAGUCGACCCCUAAGGCGAGGCCGAAAGGCGUAGUCGAUGGGAAACAGGUUAAUAUUCCUGUACUUGGUGUUACUGCGAAGGGGGGACGGAGAAGGCUAUGUUGGCCGGGCGACGGUUGUCCCGGUUUAAGCGUGUAGGCUGGUUUUCCAGGCAAAUCCGGAAAAUCAAGGCUGAGGCGUGAUGACGAGGCACUACGGUGCUGAAGCAACAAAUGCCCUGCUUCCAGGAAAAGCCUCUAAGCAUC